RNAcentral lists this ribosomal RNA (440 nucleotides) under uncultured bacterium. RNAcentral's name for it is "partial 16S ribosomal RNA". It matches the Rfam family "Bacterial small subunit ribosomal RNA", at positions 338 to 795 of the family's 1533-position model. The record is from RNAcentral.
CCUACGGGGGGCUGCAGUGGGGAAUAUUGCACAAUGGGGGAAACCCUGAUGCAGCAACGCCGCGUUAGUGAAGAAGUAUUUCGGUAUUUAAAGCUCUAUCAUCAGGGAAGAGAAUGACGUUCCCUGACUAAGAAUCCCCGGCUAACUCCUUUCCAGCAGCCGCGGUAAUACGUAGGGGGCGCGCGUUAUCCGGCUUUACUGGUUGUAAAGGGUGCGUAGACGGUUCUGUAAGUCUGAAGUGAAAGCCCGUGGCUUAACCGCGGAACGGCUUUGGAAACUGUGGAACUGGAGUGCUGGAGAGGAAAGCGGAAUGCCUAGUGUAGCGGUGAAAUGCGUAGAUAUUAGGAGGAAAACCAGUGGCGAAGGCGGCUUGCUGGACAGUAACUGACGUGGAGGCUCGAAAGCGUGGGGAGCAAACAGGAUUAGAUACCCGUGUAGGC